Salvelinus fontinalis (brook trout) is the source of this 1633-nucleotide long non-coding RNA. RefSeq lists it as uncharacterized. NCBI's taxonomy places the organism in Eukaryota, Metazoa, Chordata, Actinopteri, Salmoniformes, Salmonidae. The record is from RefSeq and is a predicted model, not a curated record. The transcript is spliced from 4 exons.
UUUAUUUUAUUUUACCGUUAUUUUACCAGGUAAGUUGACUGAGAACACGUUCUCAUUUGCAGCAACGACCUGGGGAAUAGUUACAGGGGAGAGGAGGGGGAUGAAUGAGCCAAUUGUAAACUGGGGAUUAUUAGGUGACCAUGAUGGUUUGAGGGCCAGAUUGGGAAUUUAGCCAGGACACCGGGGUUAACACCCCUACUCUUACGAUAAGUGCCAUGGGAUCUUUAACGACCUCAGAGAGUCAGGACACCCGUUUAACGUCCCAUCCGAAAGACGGCACCCUACACAGGUCAGUGUCCCCAAUCACUGCCCUGGGGCAUUGGGAUAUUUUUUUUUUUAGACCAGAGGAAGAGUGCCUCCUACUGGCCCUCCAACACCACUUCCAGCAGCAUCUGGUCUCCCAUCCAGGGACUGACCAGGACCAACCCUGCUUAGCUUCAGAAGCAAGCCAGCAGUGGUAUGCAGGGUGUAUUACAAACGGGAUGGAUGCUCUUCAUCAACACCAUCUUUUCUGUGAAACUAUAUAUCAGCAAUCAAUCAACAAGACUAAUGAAAUGGAGCAAAUGAAGACAUUAGAUCUGCUAAAGGUAAUAUAUUCUGAAACUCAUUUCUUACUGGUAGAGCUUGUAUAUGAUCUGUCAAUCCUGAGAGGGACGCUCUCUCUCCUCCCCUUCCCCCCAUCUCUCUUUGCAUGUGCUGGGGCGAAGUUUCCCCUAGAUACAGAUCUAGGAUCAGCUUCCCCUCCCCAAACCCAACAAGGACCACUAGCGGGGGGAAUUCAAACCUGAUCCAAAGGCAGGGUCUAUUUGGGGAACUUGUCCCAUCCCCCACAACUCUACAUGUGGAUGCGGCUUUCUCCAGCUCACCAUGCUCACAAAGAAAACAGCAGUGCAUUUCAGCUGACUGGCAGAGACAGUGCGGUGCUAGAAGGGAAGGUUUGAUUGGGAGAGACAGUUGUUGCUGCCAUAGGUAAUCUGUCAUACUAUACAUUUAUUAAAGACAUGUCUAUUUUAAAAUUGUUCUCGUCAGAAUGUAGUAGAGUUAAAAUGGUUAUUCCAUCAAACUUCCAAUUAUUAGAAUAGUACACAACGCAGAACAGAACAACCAGGUUGAGGGUCAGUGGCCAAAGCCCGCGAACAGGAAUAUUCCAAGUUCAGACAGAGGGGGGGAGUCAGAUCGCUAUGAUCGCAAGGAACUUUACUUUUGGUGUCGAUUUUUAAUUGUUACGCUACUGGUGCUGCCUGUUGAUGUUAGGUAGGCAGCUACAGGAGCUGAAUGAUGUCAACAUCUUCGGGUUUUAUUUCAUUAAAUGUAUUUUAUUUCAUCCGUGUGCUUGUCACCUACUAACACCCUGGUACUACCCGUAGCUCCCGCUCUCCUCGGUCCGAGAAAACACGGAGAGAGAAAAAUCAACAUAAAAGCCUAAAAGACAGCCGUGGUGUCGCUCUUCAUUUCUCCUGUGGUACAUAAGAAACCCGCUACAAGAACAUGGAUAAAAGCAGGAAUCUCUCGUGCCAAGCCUGGGAAAGAACUGAAAAAACGCACUAAAGAGUCAAGACAGACACCAGAAAGAGACCCAAGAAGACUUGGACGCAGGAUCAGAGGACAGCGAGAGAUGUUCAGAACUCACUCA